GGAGCUAACGCGUUAAGUCGACCGCCUGGGGAGUACGGCCGCAAGGUUAAAACUCAAAUGAAUUGACGGGGCCCGCACAAGCGGUGGAGCAUGUGGUUUAAUUGGAUGCAACGCGAAGAACCUAACGUGGUCUUGACAUCCACGGAAUUUGGCAGAGAUGCNUUAGUGCCUUCGGGAACCGUGAGACAGGUGCGUGCAUGGCUGUCGUUCAGCUCGGGUGGUGAAAUGUUGGGUUAAGUCCCGCAACGAGCGCAACCCUUAUCCUUUGUUGCCAGCGGUUCGGCCGGGAACUCAAAGGAGACUGCCAGUGAUAAACUGGAGGAAGGUGGGGAUGACGUCAAGUCAUCAUGGCCCUUACGACCAGGGUACACACGUGNUACAAUGGCAUAUACAAAGAGAAGCGACCUCGCGAGAGCAAGCGGACCUCAUAAAGUAUGUCGUAGUCCGGAUUGGAGUCUGCAACUCGACUCCAUGAAGUCGGAAUCGCUAGUAAUCGUGGAUCAGAAUGCCACGGUGAAUACGUUCCCGG
This 529-nucleotide ribosomal RNA is filed under the name uncultured bacterium. Its description in RNAcentral is "bacterial SSU rRNA". It matches the Rfam family "Bacterial small subunit ribosomal RNA", at positions 848 to 1377 of the family's 1533-position model. The record is from RNAcentral.